GGACAAGCAGACUGGCAGUGUCCACAACGGUGUUACGAUGACAAAGACCAGAUCCUCGGAAGACUUGACAACGAAUGAGCUGGGACAAAGCACCAUUUCGAGGAGAUCAAGCGAUCCGAACCUCACAGUUGAAUCCAUUGUCACAGAUUG
Non-coding RNA from Drosophila kikkawai, 150 nucleotides. The record is from RefSeq and is a predicted model, not a curated record. Lineage: Eukaryota; Metazoa; Arthropoda; Insecta; Diptera; Drosophilidae.